Molecule: long non-coding RNA, 2198 nt
Filed under: Gossypium barbadense (sea-island cotton)
Lineage: Eukaryota; Viridiplantae; Streptophyta; Magnoliopsida; Malvales; Malvaceae
Description: long non-coding RNA (GBAR_LNC022585)
Source: RNAcentral
GCAUGAAUAACAUUGAUUUAUUAAUUAAGAAACAAAAGGCAAAAUCCAUAACAUGGUUUGUAGAACUAGAGUAAACUUAAUGACAUGGUAUAGUGUACUUUUAUACUUAAGAAAAUUAUUCGAUAAUCAAUUUAAUAUUGUAACUGUUUUUUAAAACAACAUAGCAUAAACCCGUCGCCCAAAUCUAUGGUUCGCCCAUAUCAGUCAGGUGCCUUGCCAAAUUAUCGACCUCGCCUAUGUCAUCCGCGAUCUACUUACCUGAGAAGUAAUAGAGGAAUGGGUGAGUUUGGGGAGAACUCAGUGAAUAAUCAGAAACCAUUAGGUUAUGCUUCAAAAUAAUAUUUGCAAAUAGUAGAAAACUUAGUUUGAAAAUAUUUUGCGUGUUGUGUUCACAGGUGAGGAUGCGAGACCCAGUUCAUAUCUAAAAAACAUAUUUUCCUGAAAAUAGUUUAAAAACAAUGCAUACAAAUUUCUUAAAAACUUUCUUUAAAAAAAUGGGGCUUGCAUUAAACUUGCGAGGCCAUAUUUCUUUCAAAAAUAUUUAACAACCUGAGAUUGGGUUCGACUUUGGUCGUGAAACCAACGCGUACAUGAUUUUCAGAAAACUUUCCUUUGAAUAGGGUCUGGCUUAAGUCGCAAGACCAGUUCACACUUACGAACAGAGUCGACCUUAGGUCGCACGAUAGGUUCCUCAAUCAAAGUUUUUGUCUCAUUGAGUAUAUAAUACCCAAUCGAACUUACAGAGGGGCACACACUUUGAGACAUAUCACAUUAGCUCAUAUACAGAGCUAGGCUCACUGAGUAGCAAACUUUGUCUCGUUGAAUAUAUAAUUACCCAAUCGAACUUACAAAGGAGCACACACUUUGAGACAUAACAUGGGUGAGUACUCACACUAUUAGUAUACCAAUCAUAAGGCUCACUAAGGAGCUCACAGAAUAGAAGCUCGCACUAAGGCAAAGCUAAACAGAGACCUCACACAAAGCAGAGCUUAAAACAUUUGCUUAUAAAAAUCUCGCAUGUUAAGUACCUUUUAAAAACGCAGUUUAGAACCGUUCUUUCAAAAAAUUCUUAUAAUCAAAGGCUCGCAUAGGAGCUUGCAUAAAAUUUUACUUUAAAAAACAUCUUUUCAAAAUGAAAACUAUAGCCAUUAGCAAACAUAAUUAGAGUACCUUUUAAAACCCAUAAGCUAACGGUUACCAUUCACUCACCGGAAAUGGAGAACUUAAAUGAUUUUGGCUUUGCCUUUAUCUUUGCUAGAAGACGGUCCGGCUGGUUCACAACAAAUAAAUAUAUUACUAGAAAAACAUUCAGAAUUCACACAUGUAUACAAACUUAGCUCUAAGGACGAUCAAUCCUAACAAGACAAGGACUUACCCGGAUUGCUACGAACAAAAUUUUAGAAUAGAGACUUGACAACAGAAUAUUCAGUAAAGAUUGCCAUCGAAUUAAUGGGCUUAUUUAUAGACCUAAGAGUUCUAAAUAUCGUUGUACACUUUACCUAAUUUAGGAAAGACAUUACUUGCACGUAAAGUAUUCUUAGAUACGCUAAAUCACUUUUUCCUAAUUUGAGUCUGACUAUAUCGUUGACCAGUGAACCCAGUGCAUACUUUGAAUGGUGAACCCCAGCUUGCCAAAAGGACUGGUGAACCCUUAGCUCGCUAACACAUUAAUGAACCUAUCGCAUAGUAAAACUAAUGAACCCCUUACCAUUUUAUUUGGCGUACGCUAUAGCUCAACGAACAUCCUUGCUGAAACUUCAUUGGCGAACACCUAGCUCGCCUGAAUCUUGGAAUACUCGGUUCACCAGAACACUAGCGAACCUUACUUCGCAUGGCCAAAACUUUCGGCCUUGAUCUCGAGUUGUGAAAAUUCUCUCCCACUUAAGACAUUUCGUCUUUGAAACGUUCACCUUCGAACAAUUAUAGAUACUAUUACCUCAUUACUUUCUCAGUUUCCCAUGUUUGAAAGAUGCCUGUAAGAGUUCUUGGAGAGAGAAGAGUUGAAAGAUGAAUGUGGUAUGUGGCUAAGGCACUAAGUUGGAGGAUUUAGGGAUUUUAAAGUGUGAGGGGGUUUAAAAACCUUUAAAAACAUGCGGGUCACGAAAAUAGGACCCGUUUUUGACAUGACCCGACUUGGGUAUCGCAAUACCAAAAAAUUUUAAAAACCCUCUUCACUGAACUGCCAGUGAUGUUACGAU